This is a long non-coding RNA of Pan paniscus (pygmy chimpanzee), 134 nucleotides long. NCBI's taxonomy places the organism in Eukaryota, Metazoa, Chordata, Mammalia, Primates, Hominidae. The record is from Ensembl.
CUGAACCUGAUUAUCAAGAGGAGGUAAGGAGGAAUGUAUUUGACAUUCAGGUGAUGUACAAUAGAUUUCCUUAAGAAAUUGAAAGGGAGAAAAAGAACAACAGCAACAACAACAAAAGCAGCCUCCUGCCUGAG